This 277-nucleotide ribosomal RNA is filed under the name uncultured bacterium. Its description in RNAcentral is "partial 16S ribosomal RNA". It matches the Rfam family "Bacterial small subunit ribosomal RNA", at positions 335 to 609 of the family's 1533-position model. The record is from RNAcentral.
CACCUACGGGAUGCAGCAGUGAGGAAUAUUGGUCAAUGGGCGGGAGCCUGAACCAGCCAAGUCGCGUGAGGGAAGACGGUCCUAUGGAUUGUAAACCUCUUUAGGCGGGGAGCAAUGCCGGGCACGUGUGCCCGGAGGGAGAGUACCCGCAGAAUAAGCAUCGGCUAACUCCGUGCCAGCAGCCGCGGUAAUACGGAGGAUGCGAGCGUUAUCCGGAUUCAUUGGGUUUAAAGGGUGCGCAGGCGGGCCUUUAAGCCGGCGGUGAAAUCGCGGGGCU